AUGAACGCUGACAGAAUGCUUAACACAUGCAAGUCGAUGGGGAAGUGGUGCUUGCACCAUGGUAACCAUGGCGGACGGGUGAGUAACGCGUAAGGAACUUGCCUGCGGGACUGGGAUAACAGCAGGAAACUGCUGAUAAUACCGGAUAAGGUCAUUAAGCUGCAUAGCUUAGUGAUGAAAGGAGACGCCUGCGGAGAGCCUUGCGUCCUAUUAGCUAGUUGGAGGGGUAACGGCCCACCAAGGCGAAGAUAGGUAGCCGGCCUGAGAGGGUGGACGGCCACAAGGGGACUGAGAUACGGCCCUUACUCCUACGGGAGGCAGCAGUGGGGAAUAUUGGACAAUGGGGGCAACCCUGAUCCAGCAAUUCUGUGUGCACGAAGACGGUUUUCGGAUUGUAAAGUGCUUUCAGCAGGGAAGAAGGAAGUGACGGUACCUGCAGAAGAAGCGACGGCUAAAUACGU
Molecule: ribosomal RNA, 461 nt
Filed under: uncultured bacterium
Lineage: Bacteria
Description: partial 16S ribosomal RNA
Rfam family: Bacterial small subunit ribosomal RNA
Source: RNAcentral